CAACUUUCAUCUUCAAUAGCCCAUGAGAGAAGAGAACCAUAGGCAAUAAGUGGAGGUCCCCGAAUUUUCCAUCACGAAAUCCUAUCAAAACCCUUUUAUUGUCACAAAGAAAGUGCAAAAGCUAUAACACUAACUACAAACAAAGCUAAGUUUUGCAUGGCAAGGCUCGAAGCUUUGGAGUUCCCAUCAACGUCAGCAGCCUUCCUAGACAUUCCCGGUGCCGGUGCCAGAGCUGAAGACCUAGCAGCGAAGACUUGCAAAGGUUGAAGCACCUGAUCGACUCGAUAAACAGCCAGCUGACCAUCGGUAUAAAUGGUACCACUAACACUGGUUUUCAUCAGCCCCGUCUUUAAAACCACUGUGUUUCCCGAAGUGGUGACGUUGAGAGGAAACUCACCGUCGCCGCUAUCUCCGGCUUGUGUUCUCAUAGGGUUGCUAACUGUUUGGAAUUGGGAAAAUGGGAUAUAAUCUGGGACGACGUGAAAUAGCACCAGCUGAACCCUUUGUUCAUCGUUGAGUGAAUUCAAGGCACCAGAUUUGAGGGCGGAGAAAGCCUUAUCAGUGGGGGCAAAAAUGGUCUUCCCAUCAUCUGUAUCUUUGAGCUCGCCAAUGAGACGGUCGGAGACUUGGGUGGAUUUGAGAAGACGAACGAAGACGGAGUAUUGGCCGGC
RNAcentral lists this long non-coding RNA (671 nucleotides) under Gossypium barbadense (sea-island cotton). Its description in RNAcentral is "long non-coding RNA (GBAR_LNC006168)". The record is from RNAcentral. Lineage: Eukaryota; Viridiplantae; Streptophyta; Magnoliopsida; Malvales; Malvaceae.